Leptonychotes weddellii (Weddell seal) is the source of this 296-nucleotide long non-coding RNA. RefSeq lists it as uncharacterized. NCBI's taxonomy places the organism in Eukaryota, Metazoa, Chordata, Mammalia, Carnivora, Phocidae. The record is from RefSeq and is a predicted model, not a curated record.
CAGCCUGAGCCUGUGACUCAGGCCUGGCUGGGAGAGCAGCGGAGCGCUCCAGACACGCUGAAUGGUUUACUGACGGCCCUGUGUUUCCCCGCCAGGCUCCUCCAGGGGAUUUUUACUGGAGCCUCCUUAGGAGAUACUUGUUUGUUCUCUGGAAUUACAAGCUCUAAGAAGUCACGUCACAUCUCGUAGCCACCAAGGUUUCCAGGCUUAUUGAGAGGACAGGAACUCACAGGCUUUCGGAAGAGAUGGAAGAGGAGGUGGUGGACAGGAAUUUCAACGUUCGAACGGAGAGGAGG